Long non-coding RNA from Octopus sinensis (East Asian common octopus), 148 nucleotides. RefSeq lists it as uncharacterized. The record is from RefSeq and is a predicted model, not a curated record. NCBI's taxonomy places the organism in Eukaryota, Metazoa, Mollusca, Cephalopoda, Octopoda, Octopodidae. The transcript is spliced from 3 exons.
GUUGGUUGACCGGUUUGAGGAUGGGAGUCCUGGUAGUCGGUCUUCUAUGGCGAUCGGGUGUCCGCGCUAAGCUCGGCAUCAAUAUGGUGCUGGAGAGGGAGCUCAUCAGGACCGGGUUGUCUAAGGAGGGAAGAGUGUCGUGUAGAGA